CCAUGGAACAUUCAACGCUGUCGGUGAGUUUGGGAUUUAAAAAAACCACUGACCGUUGACUGUACCUUGG
MicroRNA precursor from Cavia aperea (Brazilian guinea pig), 70 nucleotides. Ensembl annotates it as microRNA 181a-2. The record is from Ensembl. Lineage: Eukaryota; Metazoa; Chordata; Mammalia; Rodentia; Caviidae.